This is a long non-coding RNA of Eleginops maclovinus (Patagonian blennie), 1341 nucleotides long. RefSeq lists it as uncharacterized. NCBI's taxonomy places the organism in Eukaryota, Metazoa, Chordata, Actinopteri, Perciformes, Eleginopidae. The transcript has 2 exons. The record is from RefSeq and is a predicted model, not a curated record.
UUCUAUUAUAAAUACGACGUAGGCCCUACGUUGCAACGGACUUUUGACCAGAAGGAACUUAGGAAAGGGCGUGUUGUUAGAGCUCCGAAUAUUUACCAAACAAUUCUUCUACUGUCUAGAUUUUGUGGUACUAAACAGUACAGUACUUGAGCGAAAAAAAAGGCUGUCCUUGUAUUUUCACGUUUUCACUCCGAACAAGACACUUUGAACUCGCUCUACAGAGAAGUCGACAGUCGACGUUUUUUUUCUCUACAGUUCAUUUUUGGUCGGACAUGUGUCAAGAAGUAAUGGAUACCAGAUCGAAACACAUUAAGACCAACUGCCUGCGGAAAACCAUGAAACCUGGAUCCAGAUUGAGAUGGAAACUGCCUCGUGUCACCGCGGAGGGGGAUGCGGCCUUCAAGAAGUGUUUAAGCGACUCUGUGAGGACCUUCCGAAAAUGCCUCCGACGGCAACAGAGGCGGGCCCAGCUGGCUAAACUCGCCAACGCCCUGGGAAACAUCGGGAAGAAAGAGAAGAAGCAAUCCGUUUGCGAGGAAACCCCCAAUGUGGCCUGUAUGCUACCUCAACCAUCGGGGGCAAUGGCGCCGCCUAACACCACGCAGUACCUUAUGGGUAAUGUGUACGACGACUUAAAGACGAACUACAUCCAGACAGUCUCGCAUGCUACAUCUCCACAUCAUGAUAGUGAAUUUGUUUCACCCAGUGUAUGUGAUGCACCAGACUCUGAUUACGAUAGCUGUCUUGCCUUUCAGCAGAGGGACUUUGAGGAAGUGUUUGACCUGUACUGGUAACCGGAUUGAACUGGUCUGGCCGCCUCUCCAGCCGAGACUUGCCGAUAAGGGCAAAUAAAAGCGGCGCACUGGAUGGUGCCCGCCCAGUAGGGAGAUUCCUGAGCCCUGUGUGGCGCCGCCCAGAGGAAUGAAACAAUCGCACUUCGGCUUUCGCCUGGCACGGAUUGUGAAAUCCAGGUAAACCCGGGCAGGUAUUGUGUUGCACUGCAUUGUCAUUGAACAGUACAGUAACAACAGAACAGUAGUACAUUGUGUUGCGAUGUUGGGCCUUUGCACAGUUACUGUUGUCUGAGCGUUUUCCAGGUCGAAUUCCUGCCGGGACACGUGACUCUGCUGCGAGAGGCGCAAGCGACCAAGGAGCUCUUCCGUCACGUGACUGACAUAAGGUGACAUUUAAUGCCCAUUGGUUAUUUUGACUGUUUUCAAGAAGGUUACAGUCCAGCUGAUGACAUAGAUGUAAACUGUGUUAAAAGUGAAAAUAUAAAGUGAUUUAUCCUGAGUUUUAAAGGGUAGUAAUGUUCAAUAAAAUGUGCUUCCUAAUGAAAAA